AAAUAAGUAAGCUAAACAUAAGCUUUUAGGUUCAUACCCUAACUAUAGAAUCAUAAUAUCUCUUAUUUA
RNAcentral lists this transfer RNA (69 nucleotides) under Dolichoderus sibiricus. RNAcentral's name for it is "tRNA-Met". Lineage: Eukaryota; Metazoa; Arthropoda; Insecta; Hymenoptera; Formicidae. The record is from RNAcentral.